GGCUUUAUAUUCAAUAAUGAUAUUAGACUGCAAUUCUAAAGGAGUACCAAUAGUACUAAGGCUU
RNAcentral lists this transfer RNA (64 nucleotides) under Exhyalanthrax sp. RNAcentral describes it as "tRNA-Cys". The record is from RNAcentral. Lineage: Eukaryota; Metazoa; Arthropoda; Insecta; Diptera; Bombyliidae.